RNAcentral lists this ribosomal RNA (414 nucleotides) under uncultured microorganism. RNAcentral describes it as "bacterial SSU rRNA". It matches the Rfam family "Archaeal small subunit ribosomal RNA", at positions 459 to 872 of the family's 1478-position model. The record is from RNAcentral.
CAGCAGCCGCGGUAAUACCGGCGGCCCGAGUGGCGGCCACUAUUAUUGGGCCUAAAGCGUCCGUAGCCGGGUUGGGAAGUCCUCCGGGAAAUCUGGCCGCUUAACGGUCAGAAUGCCGGAGGAUACUCCCAGCCUAGGGAGCGGGAGAGGCCGAGGGUAUUCCCGGAGUAGGGGUGAAAUCCUAUAAUCCCGGGAGGACCACCUGUGGCGAAGGCGCUCGGCAGGAACGCGUCCGACGGUGAGGGACGAAGGCCAGGGGAGCAAACCGGACUAGAUACCCGGGUAGUCCUGGCGGUAAACGAUGCGGACUUUGUGUCGGCCAAGCUAUGAGCUUGUCCGGUGCCGGAGGGAAACCGUUAAGUCCGCCGCCUGGGGAGUACGGCCGCAAGGCUGAAACUUAAAGGAAUUGGCGGG